RNAcentral lists this ribosomal RNA (261 nucleotides) under uncultured bacterium. RNAcentral's name for it is "partial 16S ribosomal RNA". It matches the Rfam family "Bacterial small subunit ribosomal RNA", at positions 96 to 353 of the family's 1533-position model. The record is from RNAcentral.
UGGCGAACGGGUGAGUAACGCGUGAGGAACCUGCCUCAAANAGGGGGACAACAGUUGGAAACGACUGCUAAUACCGCAUAAGCCCACGGCUCGGCAUCGAGCAGAGGGAAAAGGAGUGAUCCGCUUUGAGAUGGCCUCGCGUCCGAUUAGCUGGUUGGUGAGGUAACGGCCCACCAAGGCGACGAUCGGUAGCCGGACUGAGAGGUUGAACGGCCACAUUGGGACUGAGACACGGCCCAGACUCCUACGGGAGGCAGCAUG